Molecule: long non-coding RNA, 100 nt
Organism: Octopus sinensis (East Asian common octopus)
Lineage: Eukaryota; Metazoa; Mollusca; Cephalopoda; Octopoda; Octopodidae
Exons: 3
Source: RefSeq, a predicted model, not a curated record
GCCAGCCAUGACAGCGGCUGGAUGUGUUUCUCGCUGCUCUGACCAUUCAGUAGCUGAAAGCCAUAGAAACACUAAUAUGACCCAUCGGGACAACGGGGAA